This 373-nucleotide ribosomal RNA is filed under the name Costacallista erycina. Its description in RNAcentral is "partial 16S ribosomal RNA". It matches the Rfam family "Bacterial large subunit ribosomal RNA", at positions 1935 to 2541 of the family's 2925-position model. The record is from RNAcentral. Lineage: Eukaryota; Metazoa; Mollusca; Bivalvia; Venerida; Veneridae.
UGCAAUGAGAGUUGUGCUAAGGUAGCAUAAUAAUUAGCUCUUUAAUUGGGGGAAAGUAUGAAUGGUUUGACGUGGAAAUACUGUCUUUAAUGUAAUUAAGAGAAAUUUUUUUAUAGGUGAAAAAACCUAAAUAUUUGUAAAAGACGAGAAGACCCUAUCGAACUGAAUUAGAAGAAUAGUAAUUGUAUAAAUAUAUAAUUAAUGUGUUUUUGAAUUUUUGUUGGGGUAAUAAAAGACUAAAAUUAACGUCCUUUUAUUAAAUAAAGAUCCUAUUUGAUAGAAAAAAGCAACAGUUACCGUAGGGAUAACAGCGUAAUAUCUUUCUAAGAGAUCUUAUUGAGGAAAGGGUUUGCGACCUCGAUGUUGGAUUAUA